Molecule: ribosomal RNA, 446 nt
Filed under: uncultured bacterium
Lineage: Bacteria
Description: SSU rRNA
Rfam family: Bacterial small subunit ribosomal RNA
Source: RNAcentral
AGAACGAACGCUGGCGGCAUGCCUAACACAUGCAAGUCGAACGAGACCUUCGGGUCUAGUGGCGCACGGGUGCGUAACGCGUGGGAAUCUGCCCUUAGGUUCGGAAUAACAGUUAGAAAUGACUGCUAAUACCGGAUAAUGACGUAAGUCCAAAGAUUUAUCGCCUAGGGAUGAGCCCGCGUAAGAUUAGCUAGUUGGUGGGGUAAAGGCCUACCAAGGCUACGAUCUUUAGCUGGUCUGAGAGGAUGAUCAGCCACACUGGGACUGAGACACGGCCCAGACUCCUACGGGAGGCAGCAGUGGGGAAUAUUGGACAAUGGGCGAAAGCCUGAUCCAGCAAUGCCGCGUGAGUGAUGAAGGCCUUAGGGUUGUAAAGCUCUUUUACCCGGGAUGAUAAUGACAGUACCGGGAGAAUAAGCUCCAGCUAACUCCGUGCCAGCAGCCGC